This 414-nucleotide ribosomal RNA is filed under the name uncultured microorganism. RNAcentral's name for it is "bacterial SSU rRNA". It matches the Rfam family "Archaeal small subunit ribosomal RNA", at positions 459 to 872 of the family's 1478-position model. The record is from RNAcentral.
CAGCCGCCGCGGUAAUUCCGGCGGCCCGAGUGGCGGCCACUAUUAUUGGGCCUAAAGCGUCCGUAGCCGGGCUGGUAAGUCCUCCGGGAAAUCUGGUCGCUUAACGAUCAGACUUCCGGAGGAUACUGCUGGCCUAGGGACCGGGAGAGGCCGAGGGUAUUCCCGGGGUAGGGGUGAAAUCCUGUAAUCCCGGGAGGACCACCUGUGGCGAAGGCGCUCGGCUGGAACGGGUCCGACGGUGAGGGACGAAGGCCAGGGGAGCGAACCGGAUUAGAUACCCGGGUAGUCCUGGCUGUAAACGAUGCGGACUAGGUGUCGGGCAAGCUAAGGGCUUGUCCGGUGCCGCAGGGAAGCCGUUAAGUCCGCCGCCUGGGGAGUACGGCCGCAAGGCUGAAACUUAAAGGAAUUGGCGGG